UACGUAGGGUGCAAGCGUUGUCCGGAAUUAUUGGGCGUAAAGAGCUCGUAGGCGGUCUGUCGCGUCGGAUGUGAAAAUCCAGGGCUCAACCCCUGGACCUGCAUUCGAUACGGGCAGACUAGAGUUCGGUAGGGGAGACUGGAAUUCCUGGUGUAGCGGUGAAAUGCGCAGAUAUCAGGAGGAACACCGGUGGCGAAGGCGGUUCUCUGGGCCUUACCUGACACUGAGGAGCGAAAGCGUGGGGAGCGAACAGG
This 254-nucleotide ribosomal RNA is filed under the name uncultured bacterium. Its description in RNAcentral is "partial 16S ribosomal RNA". It matches the Rfam family "Bacterial small subunit ribosomal RNA", at positions 524 to 776 of the family's 1533-position model. The record is from RNAcentral.